This 551-nucleotide ribosomal RNA is filed under the name uncultured Clavulinaceae. Its description in RNAcentral is "eukaryotic LSU rRNA". The stretch from base 203 to 356 matches the Rfam family "5.8S ribosomal RNA". The record is from RNAcentral. Lineage: Eukaryota; Fungi; Basidiomycota; Agaricomycetes; Cantharellales; Hydnaceae.
UCUUUGGCUGCAUGUGCUCGUUUCUAACAAUCUUUAUCCAAACACCUGUGCACCUUUGUGAAGAGGGGAAAAGGCAUCUUGCAAGAUGGAUUACCGUCUUUUGGUGAUUUUCUUGUGGGUUCUGAUCCCCCCUUUAUACACACAUAUACUCCUUUAUUAUUAUUGAACGUGCUUGUGCCGCAAGGCUUAUAAAAUAUAAUACAACUUUUAACAACGGAUCUCUUGGCUCUCGCAUCGAUGAAGAACGCAGCGAAAUGCGAUAAGUAAUGUGAAUUGCAGAAUUCAGUGAAUCAUCGAAUCUUUGAACGCACCUUGCGCUCCCUGGUAUUCCGAGGAGCACACCUGUUCGAGUGUCGUAAAAUUAUCAGACUGUUGAAGCUUUUUGACCCUUGGUUAAAAAGGCAUCUUUAGUUUGGUGUUGGGCUCUGCCGUGCCUUUUGAUUGGAACGGCUGGCCUUAAAAGCAUUAGCUGACCCUUGUGAGUGCAUUGGUUCUACUCAGUGUGAUAAUCAUUUCUGAACCGCUGAGGACAUCUUCCGAGAUGGCCAAUU